Molecule: ribosomal RNA, 518 nt
Filed under: uncultured bacterium
Lineage: Bacteria
Description: partial 16S ribosomal RNA
Rfam family: Bacterial small subunit ribosomal RNA
Source: RNAcentral
UGGGGAAUUUUGGACAAUGGGCGCAAGCCUGAUCCAGCCAUGCCGCGUGCGGGAAGAAGGCCUUCGGGUUGUAAACCGCUUUUGUCAGGGAAGAAAUCUUCUGAGUUAAUACCUCGGGAGGAUGACGGUACCUGAAGAAUAAGCACCGGCUAACUACGUGCCAGCAGCCGCGGUAAUACGUAGGGUGCAAGCGUUAAUCGGAAUUACUGGGCGUAAAGCGUGCGCAGGCGGUUUUGUAAGACAGAGGUGAAAUCCCCGGGCUCAACCUGGGAACCGCCUUUGUGACUGCAAGGCUUGAGUGCGGCAGAGGGGGAUGGAAUUCCGCGUGUAGCAGUGAAGUGCGUAGAUAUGCGGAGGAACACCGAUGGCGAAGGCAAUCCCCUGGGCCUGCACUGACGCUCAUGCACGAAAGCGUGGGGAGCAAAACAGGAUUAGAUACCCCUGGUAGUCCACGCCCUAAAACGAUGUCAACUGGUUGUUGGGAAGGUUCCUUCUCAGUAACGUAGCUAACGCGUGAA